Long non-coding RNA from Priapulus caudatus, 235 nucleotides. RefSeq lists it as uncharacterized. The record is from RefSeq and is a predicted model, not a curated record. The transcript is spliced from 3 exons. Lineage: Eukaryota; Metazoa; Priapulida; Priapulimorpha; Priapulimorphida; Priapulidae.
AUGCUAGUGAGCAAAUACGCCGUCGGAUUUGUUUUACUCGGGACCGGCUGCCUCGUAACGCAGUUCCUACAGGCUACGAUGUUUGGCUACUCCGGAGCGCUACUGACGAUGAGGGUUCGACAGCAGCUAUUCCACGCAGUACUCGGUCAGGAAAUAGCCUGGUUCGAUGAUCACAAGAACAGCGUCGGUAAGCUGACAACGCGAUUAGCGGUCGAUGCAUCCAACGUACAAGGGG